UCUUUAAAAAAAAAGAAAAAAGAAAAUAAAAUCGGUUACUGUAAUAGAGACUAUCAAUGGUUCAGGGAACAACAUUAGCUAUGAUAACCAAUCUGAAUUAUAUUUCAGCUGGGACCAGUGUGGGUGAAGUUUGGAGCCAACUGCAAAGCAUUACAGGCAGGAGAGAGAACAAUUACAAAGACCCUGAAGUGGGAACAGCAUUGGAAUGCUUAAGGAACAGACUUCAAUGUGAUAAGAAUCUGCAUGAAAGAGAGCAAGAGGACCUUAAGAAAUGAGAUCAGAGAAUUAGGCAGGGAUGAAAUCAUAUGGAAUCUAAUGCCUGAACUCCUGGAGAGCCAGUGGGAUCUGCCUUUGUGGAAUCUGAAGCAAAGGAAGAAGUAGCAAAACCUAUUGAGGUCUCCUCUCCAUCUGUCUUCCUGUUUGUUGUCUUACAAACAACAUGACCAAACAUGAAUUGCAUCUCAAGAUGUGGUCCCCAGACCAGCAACAUCAGCAUCACCUGGGAACUUGUUAAACAAGCAAAUUCUCCGCCCCAACCCCCAGACCUACUGAAUCAGAAACUUGGAGGCGGGGCUCCAGGAUACUGUGUUUGACGGAGUCUUCCAGUUUCCUCUAUCGUCCAGACCUGCCUUUGUCCAAGCUCAACAUCCU
Molecule: long non-coding RNA, 651 nt
Organism: Neogale vison (American mink)
Lineage: Eukaryota; Metazoa; Chordata; Mammalia; Carnivora; Mustelidae
Exons: 4
Source: RefSeq, a predicted model, not a curated record